This 216-nucleotide long non-coding RNA is filed under the name Ictidomys tridecemlineatus (thirteen-lined ground squirrel). RNAcentral's name for it is "lncRNA (ENSSTOG00000034275.1)". Lineage: Eukaryota; Metazoa; Chordata; Mammalia; Rodentia; Sciuridae. The record is from RNAcentral.
CACAGUCAUGUGGGUAGAACUGAAGACAAAUCAGACAGUCUGUUGGUCAUAAUGGUAGCCACUGUGCUGGGGGCAAGGACACAAAAGACAGUCCCCCCAGAGCUUCUUGUUUGGCUUAAGAAGAAGACAGAGUCACCUGAACAUGCACGCUGGAUGCAGAUAGGACUGCAGAGGAGUUCAUGCCCAUGGGUGGCCGUAGGCUCUUGGUAUCUGUGA